GCUGGCGGCAGGCCUAACACAUGCAAGUCGAACGGAGUUAUAUUGUAGCUUGCUAUGGUAUAACUUAGUGGCAGACGGGUGAGUAAUGUAUAGGAAUCUACCUAGUAGUACGGAAUAAUUGUUGGAAACGGCAACUAAUACCGUAUACGCCCUACGGGGGAAAAAUUUAUUGCUAUUAGAUGAGCCUAUAUUAGAUUAGCUAGUUGGUGGAGUAAUAGCCUACCAAGGCAAUGAUCUAUAGCUGAUCUGAGAGGAUGAUCAGCCACACUGGAACUGAGAUACGGUCCAGACUUCUACGGGAGGCAGCAGUGGGGAAUAUUGGACAAUGGGCGAAAGCCUGAUCCAGCCAUGCCGCAUGAGUGAAGAAGGCCUUUGGGUUGUAAAGCUCUUUUAGUGAGGAAGAUAAUGACGGUACUCACAGAAGAAGUCCUGGCUAACUCCGUGCCAGCAGCCGCGGUAAUACGGAGAGGGCUAGCGUUAUUCGGAAUUAUUGGGCGUAAAGGGCGCGUAGGCGGAUUAGUAAGUUAAAAGUGAAAUCCCAAGGCUCAACCUUGGAAUUGCUUUUAAAACUGCUAAUCUAGAGAUUGAAAGAGGAUAGAGGAAUUCCUAGUGUAGAGGUGAAAUUCGUAAAUAUUAGGAGGAACACCAGUGGCGAAGGCGUCUAUCUGGUUCAAAUCUGACGCUGANGCGCGAAGGCGUGGGGAGCAAACAGGAUUAGAUACCCUGGUAGUCCACGCUGUAAACGAUGAAUGUUAAAUAUGGGAAGUUUUACUUUCUGUAUUAC
RNAcentral lists this ribosomal RNA (784 nucleotides) under uncultured bacterium. Its description in RNAcentral is "bacterial SSU rRNA". It matches the Rfam family "Bacterial small subunit ribosomal RNA", at positions 35 to 849 of the family's 1533-position model. The record is from RNAcentral.